RNAcentral lists this transfer RNA (69 nucleotides) under Anolis allisoni. RNAcentral's name for it is "tRNA-Trp". Lineage: Eukaryota; Metazoa; Chordata; Lepidosauria; Squamata; Anolidae. The record is from RNAcentral.
AAAAACUUAGGAUUAACUAAACCAAGAGCCUUCAAAGCUCAAAAUAGGGAUGAAACCCCCUAGUUUUUG